GGAGGGGGCGAGCGUUAUUCGGAAUUAUUGGGCGUAAAGGGCGCGUAGGCGGCUUGGCAAGUCAAAGGUGAAAUCCCUCGGCUCAACUGAGGAACUGCCUUUGAAACUGCCUGGCUUGAGGCCGGGAGGGGGUAGCGGAAUUCCCAGUGUAGCGGUGAAAUGCGUAGAUAUUGGGAGGAACACCAGUGGCGAAGGCGGCUACCUGGACCGGUUCUGACGCUGAUGCGCGAAAGCGUGGGUAGCAAACAGGAUUAGAUACCCUGGUAGUCCACGCUGUAAACGAUGGGUGCUCGGUGUCGCGGGUAUCGACCCCUGCGGUGCCUUGGCCAACGCGUUAAGCACCCCGYCUGGGGAGUACGGUCGCAAGGCUG
RNAcentral lists this ribosomal RNA (371 nucleotides) under uncultured bacterium. RNAcentral describes it as "bacterial SSU rRNA". It matches the Rfam family "Bacterial small subunit ribosomal RNA", at positions 527 to 896 of the family's 1533-position model. The record is from RNAcentral.